GACAGCUGAGAUGCUGAGAUAAUUGUGGGAGGAGUCAGGCUAUGCACAAAUUCUAAAGACAUAUUGUGAAGGGUACAUGCCUGGGCUCACUCCUCACAGAGCUGGAGUAUGAGAAGGAGAUCUUGCUAAGAAACUCCCCCAUCUGGUCUGACACUGAAGCUCCUGUCCCCUGAGGUUUUGUCUUCAGCAAGGAGCAGGAGGUAAAGUCUCUAGGAUGUUCAGCCUUCUGUUACAGCAGUAAAACGAGACAUCCUAAGGGGCCUGAUGUACAACAGGUAAAAGACAAGAUGCUAUAACCCUGGACGAUGGGAAUUUAGGAU
RNAcentral lists this long non-coding RNA (320 nucleotides) under Mus spicilegus (steppe mouse). RNAcentral describes it as "lncRNA (ENSMSIG00000017595.1)". Lineage: Eukaryota; Metazoa; Chordata; Mammalia; Rodentia; Muridae. The record is from RNAcentral.